This 890-nucleotide long non-coding RNA is filed under the name Felis catus (domestic cat). RNAcentral describes it as "lncRNA (ENSFCAG00000041550.2)". The record is from RNAcentral. Lineage: Eukaryota; Metazoa; Chordata; Mammalia; Carnivora; Felidae.
CUUCUCAGUAUUGUUUGGUAUUGUCUCAUUUAUAUGAAGGAUAUAAAGGCAUUUCCUUUAAAAAUACAAACAAAAUUAUUGCAUUACCUGUUAGUGAUCAAAUUUUCUAAUACAUAACAGGGCCACAGUAUCAUCCUUUUCUAAAAGGCUCACUUGUAUAUUUAAUUUCUUCCCAAUUUAAAAUCCUUUAAGCCAAGUGCCCUGGAUUCAUUCCUCUUUUCCCUAUUGAUGCAUCAAGAACAAAAUUAAACAAAUAAAUAAAAUGUGGACAAAGCAAUCGAUGGUGCUGGUGAGAAUGUCACUAAAAUAAUUCACCAUGAGAUAUAGGCUGAGUGAACAGUGAAGGGCAGUAGAGCCAGAGAGGUGAUGACUUCACCCAACCCCCCUCAGUAUUGACUUCUCCAUAUCUUACCCAGCAAUAUGUUAACUGGGAGUGAAGGGAGCAAGUGCAAGAGGGAAGCAGGAUGGAAAAUGUGGUCUGAGAAUGUUACAUAGGCAUUUCAGGGAGAACAGUCCUGUGUGGUAAAAAGAUCUUACACGUAGUUAGCUCAGUGGAUCACUGAAGUGAGAAUAGAUCUCAUUUAAUCCGAUGGAAUCCCAGAGCAAUGCUUCUAUCUGGGUAUCAUAAGUCAUCAACUGUGAACAAACCCAGGAGCUCAGGUGCCAAAGACCUUGUGAGGUGGACUAAAUUCAUGUGCUUAAAGCAAAUGAAGCUAGCAAUGGUAAGGAGUCUGAAAGCAGGUGAGCUCAGUGAUCACUGAGAAGGGACACAUCUGUAAAUUCCCUCAGAUUUUUAAAUGGAACAUGAAACAAGAGAAAAACGGCAGCCUAUUCCAACUUCCAAAAGUACUACCAUCCACUGAAACAGAACCACAGAGAAGUGACUCCAC